GGACUCCAGGGGAUGGAGAAUGGAAGGCAGCAGAUGUUUGUUGACUUCUUGCUCUAUAUCGGGCACUGUGCUAGAUACCAUACACGCCAUCAACAUUUAGGACAGUAUGGUCAGAGCAAUUUGAUUUUUAUAUUACAGUUGAGGAAAAGAGCUCACAAGAGGUUAAAUUACUUGCUUAAAACUCACAAAUUUAGUAUAUGUCAGAUCCAGGACUAGAACUCAAGCCCAUCUAACUUCAGAGCCUAUGCUAUUUUCCUGUAACAUAAACAUACAAACAAAGGAGAAUGAAAGCUGUCUCUUGUAGAUAGGAUAUUUUCAGCCGUCAUCACCAUGGACUCUUUGAAAUGUACUACUUCAGAAAAGCCACAGUGACUCCCUCUGGGCCUCACCCACCUGAGAUGACAUCACGACGCAAAUCUAGGACUUACGCUCUUCAUACGGAUGGAAUGGUUGGUUCACUUGGCUUUCAGAGUGCAGACAAGCCAUUCAGUGGAGGGCAUGCCUCAGCCUGCACUCUUCUGACUCAUGACAUGACUUCUCCAUGGAGAGCCAGGAUUUUUCUCAAGUGUAACAAUAUUAAUUAUCAAGUCACUUUAAAACA
Molecule: long non-coding RNA, 601 nt
Organism: Homo sapiens (human)
Lineage: Eukaryota; Metazoa; Chordata; Mammalia; Primates; Hominidae
Gene: CRNDE
Product: colorectal neoplasia differentially expressed
Source: Ensembl